RNAcentral lists this transfer RNA (49 nucleotides) under Marchantia paleacea. Its description in RNAcentral is "partial tRNA-Phe". It matches the Rfam family "tRNA", at positions 1 to 46 of the family's 71-position model. From Rfam's summary of the family: Transfer RNA (tRNA) molecules are approximately 80 nucleotides in length. Their secondary structure includes four short double-helical elements and three loops (D, anti-codon, and T loops). Lineage: Eukaryota; Viridiplantae; Streptophyta; Marchantiopsida; Marchantiales; Marchantiaceae. The record is from RNAcentral. RNAcentral also lists the same sequence under 8 other names.
UUGCCGGGAUAGCUCAGUUGGUAGAGCAGAGGACUGAAAAUCCUCGUGU